UACGUAGGGUGCGAGCGUUAAUCGGAAUUACUGGGCGUAAAGGGUGCGCAGGCGGUUCUGUAAGUCAGAUGUGAAAUCCCCGGGCUUAACCUGGGAACUGCGUUUGAAACUACAGAGCUAGAGUGUGGCAGAGGGGGGUGGAAUUCCAUGUGUAGCAGUGAAAUGCGUAGAGAUGUGGAGGAAUACCGAUGGCGAAGGCAGCCCCUGGGUUAGUACUGACGCUCAUGCACGAAAGCGUGGGGAGCAAACAGGAUUAGAAACCCGGGUAGU
RNAcentral lists this ribosomal RNA (270 nucleotides) under uncultured bacterium. Its description in RNAcentral is "partial 16S ribosomal RNA". It matches the Rfam family "Bacterial small subunit ribosomal RNA", at positions 524 to 794 of the family's 1533-position model. The record is from RNAcentral.